Molecule: ribosomal RNA, 253 nt
Filed under: uncultured bacterium
Lineage: Bacteria
Description: partial 16S ribosomal RNA
Rfam family: Bacterial small subunit ribosomal RNA
Source: RNAcentral
UACGUAUGGUGCAAGCGUUAUCCGGAUUUACUGGGUGUAAAGGGAGCGCAGGCGGCACGCUAAGCCUGAUGUGAAAACCCGCGGCCCAACCGCGGGAGUGCAUUGGGAACUGGCGGGCUGGAGUACCGGAGGGGCAGGCGGAAUUCCAUGUGUAGCGGUGAAAUGCGUAGAUAUAUGGAGGAACACCGGUGGCGAAAGCGGCUCUCUGGCCUGUAACUGACACUGAGGCUCGAAAGCGUGGGGAGCAAACAGG